This 460-nucleotide ribosomal RNA is filed under the name uncultured bacterium. RNAcentral's name for it is "partial 16S ribosomal RNA". It matches the Rfam family "Bacterial small subunit ribosomal RNA", at positions 338 to 795 of the family's 1533-position model. The record is from RNAcentral.
CCUACGGGAGGCUGCAGUGAGGAAUAUUGGUCAAUGGACGAGAGUCUGAACCAGCCAAGUAGCGUGAAGGAUGACUGCCCUAUGGGUUGUAAACUUCUUUUAUAUGGGAAUAAAAUGUUCCAAGUGUGGGAUUUUGUAUGUACCAUAUGAAUAAGGAUCGGCUAACUCCGUGCCAGCAGCAGCGGUAAUACGGAGGAUCCGAGAGUUAUCCGGAUUUAUUGGGUUUAAAGGGAGAGUAGGUGGAUUGUUAAGUCAGUUGUGAAAGUUUGCGGCUCAACCGUAAAAUUGCAGUUGAAACUGGCAGUCUUGAGUACAGUAGAGGUGGGCGGAAUUCGUGGUGUAGCGGUGAAAUGCUUAGAUAUCACGAAGAACUCCGAUUGCGAAGGCAGCUCACUGGACUGCAACUGACACUGAGGCUCGAAAGUGUGGGUAGCAAACAGGAUUAGAUACCCGUGUAGUC